This 451-nucleotide ribosomal RNA is filed under the name uncultured organism. RNAcentral describes it as "partial 16S ribosomal RNA". It matches the Rfam family "Bacterial small subunit ribosomal RNA", at positions 334 to 801 of the family's 1533-position model. The record is from RNAcentral.
CACUCCUGCGGGAGGCAGCAGUGGGGAAUAUUGGACAAUGGGCGCAAGCCUGAUCCAGCCAUGCCGCGUGAGUGAUGAAGGCCCUAGGGUUGUAAAGCUCUUUCACCGGUGAAGAUAAUGACGGUAACCGGAGAAGAAGCCCCGGCUAACUUCGUGCCAGCAGCCGCGGUAAUACGAAGGGGGCUAGCGUUGUUCGGAUUUACUGGGCGUAAAGCGCACGUAGGCGGACUAUUGAGUCAGGGGUGAAAUCCCGGGGCUCAACCCCGGAACUGCCUUUGAUACUGGUAGUCUUGAGUUCGAGAGAGGUGAGUGGAAUUCCGAGUGUAGAGGUGAAAUUCGUAGAUAUUCGGAGGAACACCAGUGGCGAAGGCGGCUCACUGGCUCGAUACUGACGCUGAGGUGCGAAAGCGUGGGGAGCAAACAGGAUUAGAAACCCCGGUAGUCCCAUGAU